UAGAGCUGAUCCUGCUCAGAAUGAACGCUGGCGGCAGGCCUAAAACAUGCAAGUCGAACGCUGUAGCAAUACAGAGUGGCGCACGGGUGAGUAACAUGUGGGAAUAUGCCUUUUGGUACGGAACAACGUUUGGAAACGAACGCUAAUACCGUAUGGUCCCUUCGGGGUAAAGAUUUAUCGCCAAAAGAUUAGCCCGCACUAGAUUAGCUAGUUGGUAAGGUAAUGGCUUACCAAGGCGACGAUCUAUAGCUGGUCUGAGAGGACGAUCAGCCACACUGGGACUGAGACACGGCCCAGACUCCUACGGGAGGCAGCAGUUAGGAAUAUUGGACAAUGGGCGCAAGCCUGAUCCAGCCAUGCCGCGUGAGUGAUGAAGGCCUUCGGGUUGUAAAACUCUUUAGCCGAUGAAUAUAAUGACUGUAGUCGGAAAAUAAG
RNAcentral lists this ribosomal RNA (435 nucleotides) under uncultured bacterium. RNAcentral's name for it is "bacterial SSU rRNA". It matches the Rfam family "Bacterial small subunit ribosomal RNA", at positions 1 to 490 of the family's 1533-position model. The record is from RNAcentral.